GAAGUUUGUGAUCCUUCUCUCAUUUACUUGACAGUAAGUCUAAUUGAACUCUUGCAAUGGGAAGAUCUGGAGCCGGGAGCUCGCCCCGAAGCCGCCCUGCGAGGAAGGUGAGGGCCGCCGGCUCGGGGAGCCCCCUUUCCCCCUCCACUCCCACCCCGCGGGAGCCUUUUUUCCUCCUGGACACGCGUCAGGCAGGGCACGUGUGAAGGCGCUCCGCCUGCCCCUGGAAGGGCUGCGCUCUUCGCCCGGGGCUGAGCGACUGCAUCUUCUCCCCUCCCCGCAGGCACCUUCCGCGAAGCCCCCUGGCAGAACUGCGUCCCGUGCGAUCUGUGCGAUGGUAAGAGGGCGAGGGGGCGCCGGGGCCGCUUUCGUGCCGGCUGCGCGGGGAGAUGGGGCGCACGGGCGCCCCGGGAUUGCCCAGCCCUUGAGCCUCCCCACCGGCCUCCUGGGGGCGAGCUCUCCGGCUUGGACGGAGGUCCCCUGGGGGGGCAAUCUAAAGUCUGGAGGGGGGGGAGCCUGCCGCUUCCUCCUCCUCUCCCUCCUCUCCCUCCUCAGGCGACCACCGGGAGUACGAGCGGCGGUGCAACGGGACGGUCAACGCGCUCUGCCGGUGCCGUCCGGGCUUCCUCUGUGGCGGGAAUGCGUGCGAGCGGUGCCUCUGCUCCGCGGGACAGGAGCCCACGGCGGAAGGAUGCCGGAGUUGCCCUAAGGGGACCUUUAGCAACCAGAGUCACGCUCCGUGCCGCCCCUGGACACGGUAAGCGUGGUUUCCCCCACCCUUUCUCACGAUCAGAGGUUUUUGGUCUGGCCCACGGGACGAUCCCUGCUGUUGUUGAACGCACCUUCCCCGGCAGAUGCCCGGAGGGCCACAUCCUGACUCCAGGGACAGAGAAGACGGACGUGGUUUGCCGGCCGGGUCUGGAGGAACCUGGGACCACCGCGCCACCGGGGGUCCUCUCCACGCAGAUGCGUUCCGAGGAGACGGACAGCCGGCUCCUGGCGGUCAUUCUGGCCCUGCUGGGCGUCUUACUGCUCUGCUUGGUGUUCCUGCUGCUGUCCUGCGUUUUCUUCCGAUCUUGGGCCCGAGAGAAGUUCCGGAAAGGACCCCCGAAACAGCUGGCCCAGGAGGUGGAUGACUGUGUCUACCGCUACCCCGAGGAAGAAGAGGGGGAAGGCUCCGGCACCCCUUGCCUGAAGGGAGAGCUCCUUCUUGAGAAAGGGCCUUAGCUCCCUUGCCUGUUCAGAGGAGGAAGGAAAAGGGCAGGGCAGGUGGCCAGCCUGGGGCACAAAUCCCUCUGACUUGCAUUUCCUCUGAUUUCAACCCCCCAAAACUCUCCCCAUGUCCCUUGAGAGGGUUCAGCAACUGCAGACAGGUUGUAGUUCUCUAUGGGGAGAGAGGCUUUAUGCUAAAUGGGGGGGGGGUUCUGGCCCCAACCUGACCUGUCCCCUUCCCACUUUAUAAGUAGCUUUUUCCUCUUCUUAGAAUCCUAGAAUCAGAGAGUCAGAAGGGGCCUCUAAGGCCAUCAACUCCAACCCCCUGCUCGAUACAGGAAUCCCAAUCAAAGCAGAUCUGGCACUUGUUGUUUAGUCAUUUAGUUGUGUCCGACUCUUCGUGACCCCAUGGACCAGAGCACAGCAGGUCCUCCUGUCUUCC
RNAcentral lists this long non-coding RNA (1654 nucleotides) under Pogona vitticeps (central bearded dragon). RNAcentral describes it as "lncRNA (ENSPVIG00000017223.1)". Lineage: Eukaryota; Metazoa; Chordata; Lepidosauria; Squamata; Agamidae. The record is from RNAcentral.